GCCUGGCUGGCUCAGUUGAGAGAGCAUGUGACUCUUGAUCUCAUGAUUGUGAAUUUGAGCUCCACACUGGGUG
RNAcentral lists this transfer RNA (73 nucleotides) under Felis catus (domestic cat). It matches the Rfam family "tRNA". From Rfam's summary of the family: Transfer RNA (tRNA) molecules are approximately 80 nucleotides in length. Their secondary structure includes four short double-helical elements and three loops (D, anti-codon, and T loops). The record is from Rfam by way of RNAcentral. Lineage: Eukaryota; Metazoa; Chordata; Mammalia; Carnivora; Felidae.